RNAcentral lists this ribosomal RNA (246 nucleotides) under uncultured bacterium. Its description in RNAcentral is "partial 16S ribosomal RNA". It matches the Rfam family "Bacterial small subunit ribosomal RNA", at positions 554 to 793 of the family's 1533-position model. The record is from RNAcentral.
CUGGGCGUAAAGCGCGCGUAGGCGGUUAUUUAAGUGAGGUGUGAAAUACCCUCGGGCUCAACCUAGGAACUGCAUUUCAAACUGGAUAACUUGAGUAUGUCAGAGGGUAUUGGAAUUUCCCCGUGUAGCAGUGAAAUGCGUAGAUAUGGGAAGGAACAUCAGUGGCGAAGGCGAAUACCUGGGAUAAUACUGACGCUGAGGUGCGAAAGCGUGGGGGAGCAAACGGGGAUUAGAUACCCCUGGUAG